CCUACGGGGGGCAGCAGUAGGGAAUAUUCGUCAAUGGGCGCAAGCCUGAACGAGCGAUGCCGCGUGAGUGAAGAAGGCCUUCGGGUCGUAAAGCUCUGUUGCGGGGGAAAAAAGGCAGCAUCAGGAAAUGGGUGCUGACUGAUGGUGCCGCGCCAGAAAGGCACGGCUAACGACGUGCCAGCAGCCGCGGUAAGACGUAGGGGGCGAGCGUUAUCCGGAAUGGUUGGGCGGAAAGGGUGCGCAGGCGGUCCUGCAAGUCUGGAGUGAAACGCAUGCGCUCAACUCCUGCAUGGCUUUGGAAACUGGAGGACUGGAGUGCAGGAGAGGGCGGUGGAACUCCAUGUGUAGCGGU
This 352-nucleotide ribosomal RNA is filed under the name uncultured bacterium. Its description in RNAcentral is "partial 16S ribosomal RNA". It matches the Rfam family "Bacterial small subunit ribosomal RNA", at positions 338 to 682 of the family's 1533-position model. The record is from RNAcentral.